UUUUUCUUGGUGUUUGGCUGCGCACUUGCCUUUAGUGGCGCGGUGUUUGAGGGCGAAGAUGCCACAGUGUUCCAUUCAUUGGCGGAAAUC
This 90-nucleotide transfer RNA is filed under the name Pelagimonas varians. Its description in RNAcentral is "tRNA-???(ta)". Lineage: Bacteria; Pseudomonadati; Pseudomonadota; Alphaproteobacteria; Rhodobacterales; Roseobacteraceae. The record is from RNAcentral.